Molecule: ribosomal RNA, 429 nt
Filed under: Chloroflexota bacterium
Lineage: Bacteria; Bacillati; Chloroflexota
Description: Chloroflexi bacterium partial 16S ribosomal RNA
Rfam family: Bacterial small subunit ribosomal RNA
Source: RNAcentral
UGGGGAAUAUUGCACAAUGGGCGCAAGCCUGAUGCAGCCAUGCCGCGUGUAUGAAGAAGGCCUUCGGGUUGUAAAGUACUUUCAGUCGGGAGGAAGGUGUCAAGGUUAAUAACCUUGGCAAUUGACGUUACCGACAGAAGAAGCACCGGCUAACUCCGUGCCAGCAGCCGCGGUAAUACGGAGGGUGCAAGCGUUAAUCGGAAUUACUGGGCGUAAAGCGCACGCAGGCGGUUGAUUGAGUCAGAUGUGAAAUCCCCGGGCUCAACCUGGGAACUGCAUCUGAUACUGGCAAGCUUGAGUCUCGUAGAGGGGGGUAGAAUUCCAGGUGUAGCGGUGAAAUGCGUAGAGAUCUGGAGGAAUACCGGUGGCGAAGGCGGCCCCCUGGACGAAGACUGACGCUCAGGUGCGAAAGCGUGGGGAGCAAACAGG